This 1960-nucleotide long non-coding RNA is filed under the name Cottoperca gobio. Its description in RNAcentral is "lncRNA (ENSCGOG00000019194.1)". Lineage: Eukaryota; Metazoa; Chordata; Actinopteri; Perciformes; Bovichtidae. The record is from RNAcentral.
UGUGCCCACUCACCUCAUGUAUAAAUAUUCCUGUCUCCCCUUGUCUUGUGCCAGUUUGUCUGGUCAUUGAGGCAGUGAUUCAGCAGUAUGUUAGGUGUAUCCUCCUUGUGAGCAUUUUGAGUUUGUGCUACCUUUUAGCGAGUAAAGUAUUUGGAGUUUGUACUGUACUUUUUAAAAGUUUAUAUUUAUUUUUCUAGACAACAGCCAGUGACUGAGGCUGGCAGCUACAGAAGGCUGGCAGAUUGAUUUUCCAAAAGUAUUUUGAGUCAGAGAGCUAGGGGAACAUGUCUUCCAACAAGAUAGAGUGUGUUUACUUCUUGUGAAACCAUUUAAAUGUGUGUCUGUGACAUGCUGAAGGCGCAAAUAGUCCUGAAGUGACCAAACUAACUCGGGAGACAUCCAACAAGUAUCCAGAUCAGAUGCUUGAACCACCUCAAGUGGCUCCUCUCAAUCCGAAGGAGCACCCUCCAGCUUGACGACCCUGAGACUCCUUACGAACCCAAAGGGGGCAUUCCUGCCGAGUAUGGACUGUGUAUGUCGUACUAGCAGUCUUCUGCAAACCACCCGGGCAUGCUCUGGAGGUCACAGCGCAAUGACCACGACCUCAAGGCCUCGUUCACCAAACUUUCUGAAGAAGAACUUUCUUCCUAAAACCACUUAUGCAGUUUUCAAGAAGUUUGGCAUUCACUUCAUGGAGAAAUCCCUCCACUUCAGAACUGGUGCUCCACCCUUUUUAGGCUUUUGUGUGGGCAUUCUUGACUUAAUGCUCUCAACGUUUCUUUUCAAUUUCUGUAUGUGCACACGGCAUGUUGUUUUGAAUGGCAUUAACCUGCUAAACUGGAUUGUGCAUUCAAUUGAAUCAUUAUUAGAACACAGAUGUUAACAAUUCUGCAGUGACGUAGACUUUUCUUAGGACCUUUCUCAAAAACAAAUUCAUGAAAAACUUUAGAUUUCGUUAAUGAAGAUGAUUGUAAUGAUCAACAUUGAAUCCCUGGAAACAUGUGGCAAAAUCUUCCCUGUUACUAGGCCUCUGUUUAGACUAUUUACAGCCAACACUAAGCACAGAUAAUCUUGCUUAAACCACAUUUAAACUUUGGAGUAUAUCACCGUGGAAUCUCAGCAGGUAUAGUAUUGGAAGAGUAAAUUGUGGUACCUUUUUGUAGUUUCUUGUUCAUUGUUUUUUUAACCUUCUAACCAGCCCCACAGGCACCUCAGGUAAUGAGAUUCUGCAGCCGUUCCCUUCUUUUCAAUUUUUCAUACAGUGCUAACAAAACCAGCCAGAGCUGCUUUCUGUAUACAGUUCGAGAAAUUGCCUUGAGAUCAUACUGCGUUGUUUAAGAUCUCCCCAGCUGUGAUGGGUUUCUCCGGGUUAUUUAUUUGUUAUCUCAAAGUGACGCAGGAGCUUCAUGCAUUGUGUAUCAAACUUGGGUUCUUAGACGGCUGCAUUUCCCUGCACAGCGAAGCCAAGUACAGAAAGCCUGGCGCUCCACUUUGAAGUGUUGUAUCAAUGACGUGAUGGAGAGGGAAAGGAGACGAGGAGGAAAUGGGGACAGAGAGAAAACAAAGAAGGGGGAGAAAGUGUAGGAAAAGGAAGUCGAAGUGAGAGGGGGGGAGAUGUUAAAACAGAGUGGUAGUAAGAAAGAGAGAUUGCAUGGAGAGAUGGGUUCAGGCAAUCUACAAGAGGUCACACCUCCAUCUCUCUUUUCAUCUCUCUAAAGUCGGACACAUGAGCUCUGAGAUGGAUGGAGAGGCAUCAGUAAACUAGUGUGACAACUAUCACGCCGUCUCUUCAUGUUUCAAUGGGUCUAGAGUGACUCAUAUGUCAGUAACAAUCUGUGAUGAAGUGUGUGUUUGAUUGUGUGUACGUGUUUGUAUGUGUGCGCACACAUGUGACGCAGUUAGUAUACGUGUAAAAGUGUAUCAUCUCGGCAAGGAAUAAAAACGUACGCACACCCUCAUA